GACGAACGCUGGCGGCGUGCCUAAUACAUGCAAGUCGAACGCUUCUUUCCUCUCGAGUGCUUGCACUCAAUUGGAAAGAGGAGUGGCGGACGGGUGAGUAACACGUGGGUAACCUACCCAUCAGAGGGGGAUAACACUUGGAAACAGGUGCUAAUACCGCAUAACAGUUUAUGCCGCAUGGCAUAAGAGUGAAAGGCGCUUUCGGGUGUCGCUGAUGGAUGGACCCGCGGUGCAUUAGCUAGUUGGUGAGGUAACGGCUCACCAAGGCCACGAUGCAUAGCCGACCUGAGAGGGUGAUCGGCCACACUGGGACUGAGACACGGCCCAGACUCCUACGGGAGGCAGCAGUAGGGAAUCUUCGGCAAUGGACGAAAGUCUGACCGAGCAACGCCGCGUGAGUGAAGAAGGUUUUCGGAUCGUAAAACUCUGUUGUUAGAGAAGAACAAGGACGUUAGUAACUGAACGUCCCCUGACGGUAUCUAACCAGAAAGCCACGGCUAACUACGUG
Molecule: ribosomal RNA, 508 nt
Filed under: uncultured bacterium
Lineage: Bacteria
Description: partial 16S ribosomal RNA
Rfam family: Bacterial small subunit ribosomal RNA
Source: RNAcentral